This 73-nucleotide transfer RNA is filed under the name Bos taurus (domestic cattle). It matches the Rfam family "tRNA". From Rfam's summary of the family: Transfer RNA (tRNA) molecules are approximately 80 nucleotides in length. Their secondary structure includes four short double-helical elements and three loops (D, anti-codon, and T loops). The record is from Rfam by way of RNAcentral. RNAcentral also lists the same sequence under 5 other names. Lineage: Eukaryota; Metazoa; Chordata; Mammalia; Artiodactyla; Bovidae.
UCCCUGGUGGUCCAGGGGUUAAGACUCUGAGCUGCCACUGCAGGGAAUGCAGGUUUGAUCCCUGGUCAGGGAA